GCAUAUGUUAAAUAAUACAAAAUAAUUAUUUUUUUCAAAAACUUAAGCUAUCAGAUAAUGAUAUUCUUAAUAUUUACAUUCAAUACUCUUCAGAGUCCAAGACUUUUUUAUAGGUUUAAACUUGAGCUUUUGAAUUAAAUGGGGAGAAAUUAAAUAAUGCUGGGGGUUCGGCAAAUUCGAACUAAAAAUCUCAUACUCUGAUUUUGAAAUAAUUGUUUGCUCUAAAAGCUUCAAUUAAGUCUCACGUGACUCGACUCCAAUAUUUUUUGUUCUGAUAUCAUAUUAAAUAGUACGAAACAAUCAUUUUUUUCAAAAACUUAAGCCAUCAGAGAAUGAUACUUUUAAAAUUUAUAUUUAACAAUAUCUGAGUUGAACUCAAACUCAGCAUGAUUAAACUCACACUAUAUACACCCAUCUCUGAUCGUUGCGUCUCCUU
Molecule: long non-coding RNA, 436 nt
Filed under: Ananas comosus (pineapple)
Lineage: Eukaryota; Viridiplantae; Streptophyta; Magnoliopsida; Poales; Bromeliaceae
Description: long non-coding RNA (ACOM_LNC010906)
Source: RNAcentral